RNAcentral lists this ribosomal RNA (200 nucleotides) under uncultured bacterium. RNAcentral's name for it is "partial 16S ribosomal RNA". It matches the Rfam family "Bacterial small subunit ribosomal RNA", at positions 29 to 226 of the family's 1533-position model. The record is from RNAcentral.
AGUGAACGCUGGCGGCAGGCCUAACACAUGCAAGUCGAGCGGCAGCGCGGUGUAGCAAUACACUGGCGGCGAGCGGCGGACGGGUGAGGAAUGCGUCGGAAUCUGCCUCUUUGUGGGGGAUAACGUAGGGUAACUUACGCUAAUACCGCAUACGACCUACGGGUGAAAGUGGGGGACCUUCGGGCCUCACGCAGAGAGAU